This 253-nucleotide ribosomal RNA is filed under the name uncultured bacterium. Its description in RNAcentral is "partial 16S ribosomal RNA". It matches the Rfam family "Bacterial small subunit ribosomal RNA", at positions 524 to 776 of the family's 1533-position model. The record is from RNAcentral.
UACAGAGGGUGCUAGCGUUGUUCGGAAUCAUUGGGCGUAAAGGGCGUGUAGGCGGUUUGUUAAGUCAUGUGUGAAAUCCCUCGGCUCAACCGGGGAAUGGCGAUGGAUACUGGCUCGCUAGAGUGCGGUAGAGGAGAGUGGAAUUCCCGGUGUAGCAGUGAAAUGCGCAGAUAUCGGGAGGAACACCGGUGGCGAAGGCGGUUCUCUGGGCCUUACCUGACGCUGAGGAGCGAAAGCGUGGGGAGCGAACAGG